GAAGUGAUCGACACCAAGGCUGAUGUAACGCCGUCGCAGAUGGAAGUUGACAUUAGAAUGAAACGAUGCUC
RNAcentral lists this small nucleolar RNA (71 nucleotides) under Bodo saltans. Its description in RNAcentral is "Small nucleolar RNA TBR5". It matches the Rfam family "Small nucleolar RNA TBR5". From Rfam's summary of the family: TBR5 is a member of the C/D class of snoRNA which contain the C (UGAUGA) and D (CUGA) box motifs. Most of the members of the box C/D family function in directing site-specific 2'-O-methylation of substrate RNAs. Lineage: Eukaryota; Euglenozoa; Kinetoplastea; Eubodonida; Bodonidae. The record is from Rfam by way of RNAcentral.